GGGCGGUUAGCUCAGCUGGUUAGAGCACUUGCUCGACACGCAAGAGGUCAGUGGUUCGAGUCCACUACCGCCCACCA
Molecule: transfer RNA, 77 nt
Filed under: SAR202 cluster bacterium Io17-Chloro-G2
Lineage: Bacteria; Bacillati; Chloroflexota; Dehalococcoidia
Also listed under: 4 other names
Description: tRNA-Val
Rfam family: tRNA
About the family: Transfer RNA (tRNA) molecules are approximately 80 nucleotides in length. Their secondary structure includes four short double-helical elements and three loops (D, anti-codon, and T loops). Further hydrogen bonds mediate the characteristic L-shaped molecular structure. tRNAs have two regions of fundamental functional importance: the anti-codon, which is responsible for specific mRNA codon recognition, and the 3' end, to which the tRNAs corresponding amino acid is attached (by aminoacyl-tRNA synthetases). tRNAs cope with the degeneracy of the genetic code in two manners: having more than one tRNA (with a specific anti-codon) for a particular amino acid; and 'wobble' base-pairing, i.e. permitting non-standard base-pairing at the 3rd anti-codon position.
Source: RNAcentral